Molecule: transfer RNA, 56 nt
Filed under: Pomphorhynchus tereticollis
Lineage: Eukaryota; Metazoa; Acanthocephala; Palaeacanthocephala; Echinorhynchida; Pomphorhynchidae
Description: tRNA-Ser
Source: RNAcentral
GAGAAAUAGGCGGGGACUACUAAUCCCCUGAGCUUGCUUAAGUGUAAGGUUUCUUG